RNAcentral lists this ribosomal RNA (496 nucleotides) under uncultured bacterium. Its description in RNAcentral is "partial 16S ribosomal RNA". It matches the Rfam family "Bacterial small subunit ribosomal RNA", at positions 28 to 506 of the family's 1533-position model. The record is from RNAcentral.
GAUGAACGCUGGCGGCGUGCCUAAUACAUGCAAGUCGAGCGAACAGACGAGGAGCUUGCUCCUCUGACGUUAGCGGCGGAAGGGUGAGUAACACGUGGAUAACCUACCUAUCAGCAUGGGAUAACUUCGGGAAACCGCAGCUAAUACCGGAUAAUAUCUUGAACCGCAUGGUUCAAUAGUGAAAGACGGAUUUGCUGUCACUUAUAGAUGGAUCUGCGCCGCAUUAGCUAGUUGGUAAGGUAACGGCUUACCAAGGCAACGAUGCGUAGCCGACCUGAGAGGGUGAUCGGCCACACUGGAACUGAGACAGGGUCCACACUCCUACGGGAGGCAGCAGUAGGGAAUCUUCCGCAAUGGGCGAGAGCGUGAGGGAGCAACGGCGCGUGAGUGAUGAAGGUCUGCGGAUCGUAAAACUCUGUUAUUAGGGAAGAACAAAUGUGUAAGUAACUAUGCACGUCUGGACGGUACCUAAUCAGAAAGCCACGGCUAACUACGU